RNAcentral lists this ribosomal RNA (484 nucleotides) under uncultured bacterium. RNAcentral describes it as "partial 16S ribosomal RNA". It matches the Rfam family "Bacterial small subunit ribosomal RNA", at positions 28 to 507 of the family's 1533-position model. The record is from RNAcentral.
AUUGAACGCUGGCGGCAUGCUUUACACAUGCAAGUCGAACGGCAGCGCGGGCUUCGGCCUGGCGGCGAGUGGCGAACGGGUGAGUAAUGCAUCGGAACGUGCCCAGUAGUGGGGGAUAGCCCGGCGAAAGCCGGAUUAAUACCGCAUACGACCUGAGGGUGAAAGCGGGGGACCGAAAGGCCUCGCGCUAUUGGAGCGGCCGAUGUCGGAUUAGCUAGUUGGUGGGGUAAAGGCUUGCCAAGGCGACGAUCCGUAGCUGGUCUGAGAGGACGACCAGCCACACUGGGACUGAGACACGGCCCAGACUCCUACGGGAGGCAGCAGUGGGGAAUUUUGGACAAAGGGGGCAACCCUGAUCCAGCCAUGCCGCGUGCGGGAAGAAGGCCUUCGGGUUGUAAACCGCUUUUGUUCGGGAAGAAAUCCUCUGGGCUAAUACCCCGGGGGGAUGACGGUACCGGAAGAAUAAGCACCGGCUAACUACGUG